CCUCUGACUCUGUCUGAUAUGUUUGAUAUUAGGUUGUUUUAUUGGAAAACCAACUAAAUAUCAAACAUUCUUACAGCGCCAGGGA
Molecule: non-coding RNA, 85 nt
Organism: Buceros rhinoceros silvestris
Lineage: Eukaryota; Metazoa; Chordata; Aves; Bucerotiformes; Bucerotidae
Source: Rfam